This 424-nucleotide ribosomal RNA is filed under the name Leptodactylus fuscus group sp. ABGD cluster 22. RNAcentral's name for it is "partial large subunit ribosomal RNA". It matches the Rfam family "Bacterial large subunit ribosomal RNA", at positions 1835 to 2457 of the family's 2925-position model. The record is from RNAcentral. Lineage: Eukaryota; Metazoa; Chordata; Amphibia; Anura; Leptodactylidae.
CUUGAAACCUAUGAGAGGUCCAGCCUGCCCAGUGACUCUGUUCAACGGCCGCGGUAUCCUAACCGUGCGAAGGUAGCGUAAUCACUUGUUCUUUAAAUGAGGACUAGUAUGAAUGGCACCACGAAGGUUAUACUGUCUCCUUUUUCUAAUCAGUGAAACUAAUCUUCCCGUGAAGAAGCGGGAAUAAAAAUAUAAGACGAGAAGACCCUAUGGAGCUUUAAACAAACAUACAAUUGCCUUUUCUCAUAAAAAUUCCAGAAAAAACACCUCUAUUCAGGCACUUUGAUAUAAAGUUUUAGGUUGGGGUGACCACGGAGUAAAAAACAACCUCCGCAGUGAAAGGGGCUUUUCCCCUAAGCCAAGGGCCACGACCCUAAGAAUCAAUAAAUUGACACUAAUUGACCCAAUUAAUUGAUCAAUGAAC